Molecule: ribosomal RNA, 253 nt
Filed under: uncultured bacterium
Lineage: Bacteria
Description: partial 16S ribosomal RNA
Rfam family: Bacterial small subunit ribosomal RNA
Source: RNAcentral
UACGAAGGGGACUAGCGUUGUUCGGAUUUACGGGGCGUAAAGCGCGCGUAGGCGGAUCGCUAAGUCAGGGGUGAAAUCCCAGGGCUCAACCCUGGAACUGCCUUUGAUACUGACGAUCUGGAGAUCGGGAGAGGUUGGUGGAAUUCCGAGUGUAGAGGUGAAAUUCGUAGAUAUUCGGAGGAACACCAGAAGCGAAGGCGGCCAACUGGCCCGAUACUGACGCUGAGGCGCGAAAGCGUGGGGAGCAAACAGG